GACGAACGCUGGCGGCGUGCUUAACACAUGCAAGUCGAACGGAAAGGCCCUGCUUUUGUGGGGUGCUCGAGUGGCGAACGGGUGAGUAACACGUGAGUAACCUGCUCUUGACUUUGGGAUAACUUCAGGAAACUGGGGCUAAUACCAGAUAGGAGCUCCUGCUGCAUGGUGGGGGUUGGAAAGUUUCGGCGGUUGGGGAUGGACUCGCGGCUAAUCGGCUUGUUGGUGGGGUAGUGGCUAACCAAGGCUCUGACGGGUAGCCGGCCUGAGAGGGUGACCGGCAACAUUGGGACUGAGAUACGGCCCGGACUCCUACGGGAGGCAGCAGUGGGGAAUAUUGCACAAUGGGCGGAAGCCUGAUGCAGCAACGCCGCGUGCGGGAUGACGGCCUUCGGGUUGUAAACCGCUUUCGCAGGUGACGAAGCGUGGGUGACGGUAAUGGAUGAAGAAGCACCGGCUAACUACGUG
This 468-nucleotide ribosomal RNA is filed under the name uncultured bacterium. RNAcentral's name for it is "partial 16S ribosomal RNA". It matches the Rfam family "Bacterial small subunit ribosomal RNA", at positions 28 to 507 of the family's 1533-position model. The record is from RNAcentral.